GACGAACGCUGGCGGCGUGCCUAAUACAUGCAAGUUGAGCGCUGAAGGUUGGUACUUGUACCAACUGGAUGAGCAGCGAACGGGUGAGUAACGCGUGGGGAAUCUGCCUUUGAGCGGGGGACAACAUUUGGAAACGAAUGCUAAUACCGCAUAAAAACUUUAAACACAAGUUUUAAGUUUGAAAGAUGCAAUUGCAUCACUCAAAGAUGAUCCCGCGUUGUAUUAGCUAGUUGGUGAGGUAAAGGCUCACCAAGGCGAUGAUACAUAGCCGACCUGAGAGGGUGAUCGGCCACAUUGGGACUGAGACACGGCCCAAACCCCUACGGGAGGCAGCAGUAGGGAAUCAUCGGCAAUGGACGAAAGUCUGACCGAGCAACGCCGCGUGAGUGAAGAAGGGUUUCGGAUCGUAAAACUCUGUUGGUAGAGAAGAACGUUGGUGAGAGUGGAAAGCUCAUCAAGUGACGGUAACUACCCAGAAAGGGACGGCUAACUACGUG
RNAcentral lists this ribosomal RNA (497 nucleotides) under uncultured bacterium. Its description in RNAcentral is "partial 16S ribosomal RNA". It matches the Rfam family "Bacterial small subunit ribosomal RNA", at positions 28 to 507 of the family's 1533-position model. The record is from RNAcentral.